This 740-nucleotide ribosomal RNA is filed under the name uncultured bacterium. RNAcentral's name for it is "bacterial SSU rRNA". It matches the Rfam family "Bacterial small subunit ribosomal RNA", at positions 356 to 1086 of the family's 1533-position model. The record is from RNAcentral.
AGGGAAUCUUCCACAAUGGGCGCAAGCCUGAUGGAGCAACGCCGCGUGUGUGAUGAAGGCUUUCGGGUCGUAAAGCACUGUUGUAUGGGAAGAAAUGCUAAAAUAGGGAAUGAUUUUAGUUUGACGGUACCAUACCAGAAAGGGACGGCUAAAUACGUGCCAGCAGCCGCGGUAAUACGUAUGUCCCGAGCGUUAUCCGGAUUUAUUGGGCGUAAAGCGAGCGCAGACGGUUGAUUAAGUCUGAUGUGAAAGCCCGGAGCUCAACUCCGGAAUGGCAUUGGAAACUGGUUAACUUGAGUGUUGUAGAGGUAAGUGGAACUCCAUGUGUAGCGGUGGAAUGCGUAGAUAUAUGGAAGAACACCAGUGGCGAAGGCGGCUUACUGGACAACAACUGACGUUGAGGCUCGAAAGUGUGGGUAGCAAACAGGAUUAGAUACCCUGGUAGUCCACACCGUAAACGAUGAAUACUAGGUGUUAGGAGGUUUCCGCCUCUUAGUGCCGAAGCUAACGCAUUAAGUAUUCCGCCUGGGGAGUACGACCGCAAGGUUGAAACUCAAAGGAAUUGACGGGGACCCGCACAAGCGGUGGAGCAUGUGGUUUAAUUCGAAGCAACGCGAAGAACCUUACCAGGUCUUGACAUCCUUUGAAGCUUUUAGAGAUAGAAGUGUUCUCUUCGGAGACAAAGUGACAGGUGGUGCAUGGUCGUCGUCAGCUCGUGUCGUGAGAUGUUGGGUUAAGUC